RNAcentral lists this unclassified non-coding RNA (374 nucleotides) under Hevea brasiliensis (rubber tree). Lineage: Eukaryota; Viridiplantae; Streptophyta; Magnoliopsida; Malpighiales; Euphorbiaceae. The record is from RNAcentral.
GGAAGAGUUAGGGCACUUUCUACCUCUAAUAAACUAUUGUAUCUACUACUCAUUUCUUUGAAUGUAUGGUUAAUUUGUAGUUUGUGUAUGAUAUUUACUGAAAAAAAAUCGAGGUUCCUUGAAUCCAGGGAGUAAAACGAGCCAAACCUAACACAGUGCAAGUCAUUUCUUUUGUUAGGAGAGCACAAGCUCAUGAGAAGCAAUGUCUUAACAUUUCUAAAGCUUGGACCAUAUGUGAACCUUCCGACUGUUUUCAUUGAAGGCCACAAAUGUGCAUUGUGUUAACCUUGGUUGCUUGGUUCCAUAUAUUGUGAUUACAAUGUCUCUUUUGUUUGUAGGUUAGGGUAUCUGAUAGACUCUUCUUUAUGGUUAAG